UACGUAGGGUGCAAGCGUUGUCCGGAAUUAUUGGGCGUAAAGAGCUCGUAGGCGGUCUGUCGCGUCGGAUGUGAAAACCCAGGGCUCAACCCUGGGCCUGCAUUCGAUACGGGCAGACUAGAGUUCGGUAGGGGAGACUGGAAUUCCUGGUGUAGCGGUGAAAUGCGCAGAUAUCAGGAGGAACACCGGUGGCGAAGGCGGCAUCCUGGACCAACACUGACGCUGAGGAGCGAAAGCCAGGGGAGCAAACGGG
Molecule: ribosomal RNA, 253 nt
Filed under: uncultured bacterium
Lineage: Bacteria
Description: partial 16S ribosomal RNA
Rfam family: Bacterial small subunit ribosomal RNA
Source: RNAcentral